This 30-nucleotide non-coding RNA is filed under the name Mus musculus (house mouse). The record is from RNAcentral. Lineage: Eukaryota; Metazoa; Chordata; Mammalia; Rodentia; Muridae.
UGCUGACUAGAAAGCUUCAGAGACCUGCCU